AGAAGCAGGUAACAAUAGUCGUAGAUGGGAGAAUUUUACAUUCCAUUUACAAGUGCAUUUUGCACAAGAGUAUGUAGGAUUGACGUGUGUCUUGGUUUCUGUUAUUUUUGUUGUGUAGUGCUGGUUUCUAAAUGAGACAUGGAGAGAUGGAAAAAAGGGAGAUGGAGCUAGCCCAACAGAAACCAAUAAACACUGUCUGUAGAUGGAAAAGGGACUACAUCAUCAGACUGAUUCAGUUCUACAAGUUCAAAUCUGGGACUCGUGAGUCACACAAGGAAGGUGAAAGAGUAA
Molecule: long non-coding RNA, 291 nt
Organism: Tachysurus vachellii
Lineage: Eukaryota; Metazoa; Chordata; Actinopteri; Siluriformes; Bagridae
Exons: 3
Source: RefSeq, a predicted model, not a curated record